GCAAUAUUUGUGACACUGGAUGGGGUUGGUCCAUCAUUACCUGCAGAGCACACGACUACAAUUCCCUUCUGAAUAGCAUGGAAUGCACCAAUUGCAAUCACAUCAUGGUUGUAAUCCUGAACCUCCCCACCAAUGGAAAGUGAAAUCACGUCAACUCCAUCACGGAUGGCGGCUUCAAAUCCUGCCAAUAUAUCAGCAUUGUAGCAUCCUGCUCCAG
This 217-nucleotide unclassified non-coding RNA is filed under the name Hevea brasiliensis (rubber tree). The record is from RNAcentral. Lineage: Eukaryota; Viridiplantae; Streptophyta; Magnoliopsida; Malpighiales; Euphorbiaceae.